GGCUACAAGAUCCAUCCUGUAAAUAUAGAUAUAUUUACAAUAUUUCUAACGUAUCAUCAUUCUCUCAUCCUUCCGUCCUUGACAUGGCGCAGUUGGUAGGACCAGAAAGAGGCGUUAGACCCAGCAAGAGGUAAAGGCAUCGAGGCGGACUAAAUUUCAAAAGAAUAAGAGGAAGAAAAGGAUAAGCUGCCUAUUAUUGAAGAAAUUUGAGGCAUACUUUCUACCAAAAGAAAAUCUUUCAUAUGAAAGAUAUAUUUUCUUCACAAUGAGACAGAAGGCGGAACAAUCCUUGGAACAAUUCGUGGUCGAACUGACAGAACAGAAGUGCAAAUUGGGAGAUCUUCAAAACAGCUUAAUCAAAUAAUGACUCGUUGAUGAUGGAGCUUCCUACUAAUAGCCAUACAACAACGCAAGAUCAUGGAGAAGACGAAAAUUCAAAGGAAGGAAAUGGAAGGAAUGAUAUGGCGACGACAGUAAAUGCGAUAAAAUUCAAAAAAAGGUUAGGGCAGAAACAGGUAGAGGGGGAUUAAAGGAUGUCUACCAGGAUCUUAUCACAUUAAAUUAAAAAAAAAUACGCAGCCAAUAAUACAUCUGACACGUAGAAUAGCUCUUUCGCUGUUACCAAGACUGAAAGAAUAUUUUAAAAAACUAUAAGAAAAGAUAAUUGAGAAGGUGAAUAAAGCAACAAAUUGGUAAAUGCUCUAGUUAUAACUCGUAAACCAAACGACAGUCUAAGAAUUUGUUUGGAUUUGAAAGAUUUAAAUAAUAACAUCAAGCGUAAACACUGUUUAAUACCAACGCUUGAAAAAAUCACUGUCAAAUUGGCAGGAGCUAAGGUCUUUAACACAUGCGACUCUAUACCACUAAACAAAAUUACUAUACAGUAUAAAGUCGACGCUGGAGGCUUUUAAGAAAGAUUUAGGCAAACUUUUGAAAAGUGUAAAGGAUGCGAGAUACACAUAGAUGACAUAAUCAUCUAUGGAAAGAAUAGAACGAAACAUGACGAGAGGUUAAGGGGAGUGCUGGAAACGGCAAAGGAAAAUAAAGUCAAAUUCAAUUUAAGUAAAUGCAUUAGGCAAAAAUAGUAUUAAGUAUAUGGGGCAUGUCAUAAAUGAAAAUGGUAGUUUUACCAGACGAAAAUAAAAUUGUAGGUAUCAAGAAAUUGCAAACUCCAAAGGACAAGGAUGGCGUACAACGAGCGUAAUGCUAACAUAUGUGAGCAAAUUCAUACCAAAAUUUUCGUAUGAAAUUACAGCACUGAGAAACCUUUUAAAGGAAGAUGUAAUUUUUAUGCGGGGCCCAAAACAAAAGGCAUUAAAGUCUUUGAAAAAUAAAUUAAUAACUAAUCCCGUGUUGUAAUUCUUUGAUAUUAACAAGGACACAGUAAUUUCAGUACAUAGUUCUAUAGCAGGCGUGGGAGUUUUAUUACAAACAAUUUACCAUGUGCGUAUGCCUCCAAGGCAUUAACAAAAAUUCAACAGAGAUAUGUGCAAAUAGAAAAAGAAAUAGCAGCCAUAUGGUUCGGAUUAAGGCUCCUGACUACUCAGCCAAGAACUCUGCGUUGACGGUGGCGAUACAGAAUCAGACGGCGGUCUGGCGAAACCGGUAGCCACACACUUAAGCACGAGCCCGUGUGCUCGCCUGUGGCGCACCGAGAAUGAAUGAGACAGCGAGUUCCUUCUCACAUUAAUAACUUGUUUCAAGCGACCGAAAAUGCUUUCUCGGCAAUCUUGGCCGCUAGGCAUCAAUAAGGGGAGAGAGGCAUUCUAAUAUGUAAGUUUUAAUAAAUUAUAAUAAUAGUCCCUCUUUUUAAUCCAGAAUAAUAUAAAUCAUGU
Molecule: unclassified non-coding RNA, 1835 nt
Organism: Acromyrmex echinatior (Panamanian leafcutter ant)
Lineage: Eukaryota; Metazoa; Arthropoda; Insecta; Hymenoptera; Formicidae
Source: RefSeq, a predicted model, not a curated record